UCAGAGAAUGCCACGUCUUUGUAAUGUG
RNAcentral lists this small RNA (28 nucleotides) under Bombyx mori (domestic silkworm). Its description in RNAcentral is "ovarian small RNA-25598". Lineage: Eukaryota; Metazoa; Arthropoda; Insecta; Lepidoptera; Bombycidae. The record is from RNAcentral.